CGAUCACGUUACGUUGAAACAUCAAUUCCCGUAUGAUCACCGAAGUUAAGCAACGUUGGUCCUGGUCAGCAGCUAGAUGGGUGAUCGUUUGGGAAUACCAGGUGCUAUA
Acanthosepion pharaonis is the source of this 109-nucleotide non-coding RNA. Lineage: Eukaryota; Metazoa; Mollusca; Cephalopoda; Sepiida; Sepiidae. The record is from the annotation of a GenBank genome assembly.